AACGAACGCUGGCGGCAUGCCUAACACAUGCAAGUCGAACGAGACCUUCGGGUCUAGUGGCGCACGGGUGCGUAACGCGUGGGAACCUGCCCUUAGGUUCGGAAUAAAUCCCCGAAAGGGGUGCUAAUACCGGAUAAUGUCUUCGGACCAAAGAUUUAUCGCCUUUGGAUGGGCCCGCGUUGGAUUAGCUAGUUGGUAGGGUAAAAGCCUACCAAGGCGACGAUCCAUAGCUGGUCUGAGAGGAUGAUCAGCCACACUGGGACUGAGACACGGCCCAGACUCCUACGGGAGGCAGCAGUGGGGAAUAUUGGACAAUGGGCGAAAGCCUGAUCCAGCAAUGCCGCGUGAGUGAUGAAGGCCUUAGGGUUGUAAAGCUCUUUUACCCGGGAUGAUAAUGACAGUACCGGGAGAAUAAGCUCCGGCUAACUCCGUG
Molecule: ribosomal RNA, 433 nt
Filed under: uncultured bacterium
Lineage: Bacteria
Description: partial 16S ribosomal RNA
Rfam family: Bacterial small subunit ribosomal RNA
Source: RNAcentral